GUUUGCCUCGCUCUAAUCAGAGCUUCCAGAAACCCUGCGCUGUGGGAUAGAGGAAUGAGGUUCAGAAAGGGGCAGGGAGUUGCCCGCAGCCUCACCGCACGUCUUCAGCCCGACCGUUGUCCUGACCUCUCUGUCCCGUCCCCUGCCCAGUCUCACCAUGGCCUUCUGGACACAGCUGAUGCUGCUGCUCUGGAAGAAUUUCAUGUAUCGCCGGAGACAGCCGGUCCAGCUCCUGGUCGAAUUGCUGUGGCCUCUCUUCCUCUUCUUCAUCCUGGUGGCUGUUCGCCACUCCCACCCGCCCCUGGAGCACCAUGAAUGCCACUUCCCAAACAAGCCACUGCCAUCGGCGGGCACCGUGCCCUGGCUCCAGGGUCUCAUCUGUAAUGUGAACAACACCUGCUUUCCGCAGCUGACACCAGGCGAGGAGCCCGGGCACCUGAGCAACUUCAACGACUCCCUGUGAGCCAGAGGCAGUGGGUGCGGCUGGCCUGCAAACUCGGGGCUGCAGUGCCGGCCGGAACCCCGCCUCCUGCCCUCUCUCUGUCCCCAGGGUCUCCCGGCUGCUAGCCGAUGCCCGCACUGUGCUGGGAG
RNAcentral lists this small RNA (591 nucleotides) under Pan troglodytes (chimpanzee). RNAcentral describes it as "retained intron". The record is from RNAcentral. Lineage: Eukaryota; Metazoa; Chordata; Mammalia; Primates; Hominidae.